Molecule: transfer RNA, 72 nt
Organism: Monodelphis domestica (gray short-tailed opossum)
Lineage: Eukaryota; Metazoa; Chordata; Mammalia; Didelphimorphia; Didelphidae
Rfam family: tRNA
About the family: Transfer RNA (tRNA) molecules are approximately 80 nucleotides in length.
Source: Rfam
GCAUUGGUGGUAUAGGGGUUAGCAUAACUGCCUUCCAAGCAGUUGACCCGGGUUCGAUUCUCGGCCAACGCA